GUACUCAAUUUGGCAGAACAUACGCUAAAAUUGGAAUGAUCCAGAGAAGAUCAGUGUGGUGCCUGCGCAAGAAUGACACACAAAUUCAUGAAGCAUUCCAUAUUUUG
Small nuclear RNA from Cynocephalus volans (Philippine flying lemur), 107 nucleotides. NCBI's taxonomy places the organism in Eukaryota, Metazoa, Chordata, Mammalia, Dermoptera, Cynocephalidae. The record is from RefSeq and is a predicted model, not a curated record.